CACCUCUUAUUUUUCAGCUCCUUUUCGUUGUGCCCUAGCCCCUCUGAUAGAUAGAGACGAACAGAGUUAGAGGCGAACAGAGCUGGACAGAUCGAACGGGAGAGGCGAUGAAGAUCGAACGGAAAAGGUGACGAACGCAGCUGGACAGAUCUAACGGGAGAGGCGACGAACGCAGCUGGACAGAUUGAACGGGAGAGGCGACAAACGCGAGGGCGAGAGACGAAGACAGAGAGGCGACGGACGAUUGACGAGAUUGACAUGUCAACGAGUUCAAACAACAAUGCUGGAUUCUUUCAAAAUAAAAUAUGCAAAUGUGGGAAAAAAGCAGGAGUGUACAUAUCAGAAUCAGAGAAAAAUCCAAGGGAAGUUGUAUUUCAAGUGUGCAAAUAAGGCUUGUGACUACUUUGUGUGGGGAGUGCCUCCUACUGGGAAUGGAUCAAAUAUCCAAAAGAGCGGGGAUGAUUAUGAUUUUGCGAGAAACAAUGAAGUUGUGAAUAUCUUGGAAUGACUUGACGCAAACCAAUGAGAACGACUUGAAGCUAUCAAAUUCAUAAUUUUGACAACCAUAGUGAUGCUUGGUUUUAUCAUGCUAGUGGCGCUGCUCAAGUGAACUUGUAUUUGUACUGAGUGAAAACCACUACUUGUAGAACUUGUAUUUAGUUUUGAAACUUUUAUAUGUGCAUGUAAAAUCCAAACAAUGUUUAUUUAAUGAAGUUGCUAUGCUAUGUCAAUUGUAUUAAUUAAUGAAAUUGGAUGUUAUGUA
Molecule: non-coding RNA, 763 nt
Organism: Camellia sinensis
Lineage: Eukaryota; Viridiplantae; Streptophyta; Magnoliopsida; Ericales; Theaceae
Source: RefSeq, a predicted model, not a curated record